RNAcentral lists this long non-coding RNA (1251 nucleotides) under Neogale vison (American mink). Its description in RNAcentral is "Neovison vison (American mink) lncRNA (ENSNVIG00000017462.1)". Lineage: Eukaryota; Metazoa; Chordata; Mammalia; Carnivora; Mustelidae. The record is from RNAcentral.
GCCCCGCGUUAGGUUGAGGCCGCCCCGCUGCCGGCGAGGGCCGCCAUUGCUAUUGCGGCCUUCUUCCUCGGCUUGGGAGUCCCCGUCGCGUUCUCUCUUCCUCUCAGGAAAAGAGAGUGCAGCUCACGAUUAAAGACUGGGGAAAAGUAGCUAGGACAGGGCUGAGGAACGGAGCGUUCCGACGGGGCCGCAACACGCGGAGCCUCCGCCCCAAAGCGGCGCGGACUGCCGCCUCGGUAGCUGUCAUGGCGGCCCGGACCACGUGACCCCGCCUCGGCGCAGGCCUGGUUGCCCGUCGCUCUGGUUCUCCUGGUUCUCCGCCUCCCUCCCUUUCUCGUUUGCGGACUUGGGACAUUCCCUUUCUUCCCCGAGGAGGACUGCUACACAGAUUUCCGACAAAUCCGUCAGGAUAUACGGAUCUGCGGACGUGUUCAUCCGGGAAGUGGAAAUCCACCUGGAAAGGGUAUUAUUGGUAGAAAAUUUGCGGCCCCAAAGUCAAGUGUACGGUGUGCCAUUAUCUCGAGAAGGUUUGACGUACGUGCACGUACAAGCAGUAUUAAUUUACUUAUGUUAUAAAGUUGGUUUACAUGGAUGUUUAGAAGGUUAUGUAUGUUCUUAAAAGGACGGAAAUGUUUUGAACCAUAAGUGAACUCAGUUUUUCAUUGAGUGUACAGUGCAUUGAGUAGUGCUGGCUUCCGCGGCACAUAGACAAUGCGUUGAGUGUCUGGUGCUCUCCCAAAUCGCUUUUGUCAGGAUUACCUGAAUAUUUUAAAGGAGGUGCUCCAGGAGGUAUUUCACGGUGCAGCCCAUGGUUUUUGUAUAAUGCCUUUAAGUUAAUUAAACCUUAUCAGGUUUUCUUGAAGAUGAUUUCCUGGAAUCUAGUUGCCACACUUAAGUGUUCCACUGGGCGUUUCUGUAUUUGCAUUAUCUUCUAAGGACUAUUAAGCAAGUGACAUGUUUUUUUUUUUUUUAAACCAAAAAGGGGUAGGACUUAACUUUUUUUUUUUUUUUUUAAAUGGUUGAUUUACUUAUUUGAGAGAGACUACCUGCAGGGGAAUAGAGAGAAUCCUAAGCAGGCUCCACAUUCAGUGCAGAGUCCAACUCAGGGCUGGAUCUCAGGAUCCUGAGAUCAUGACCUGAGUGGAAAACAAGAGUUGUACACUUAACCAGCUGAGCCACCCAGAAACCCUUGGGACUGUUUUUUAAGUUGGCAUUUCACUUAGGUAGUGUUUCAAAUAUUUUGGAUAUAUA